GACGAACGCUGGCGGCGUGCUUAACACAUGCAAGUCGAACGGAAAGGCCCUGCUUGCAGGGUACUCGAGUGGCGAACGGGUGAGUAACACGUGGGUGAUCUGCCCUGCACUUCGGGAUAAGCCUGGGAAACUGGGUCUAAUACCGGAUAGGAGCCAUUUUUAGUGUGAUGGUUGGAAAGUUUUUUCGGUGUAGGAUGAGCUCGCGGCCUAUCAGCUUGUUGGUGGGGUAAUGGCCUACCAAGGCGGCGACGGGUAGCCGGCCUGAGAGGGUGGACGGCCACAUUGGGACUGAGAUACGGCCCAGACUCCUACGGGAGGCAGCAGUGGGGAAUAUUGCACAAUGGGCGCAAGCCUGAUGCAGCGACGCCGCGUGGGGGAUGACGGCCUUCGGGUAGUAAACUCCUUUCGCUAGGGACGAAGCUUUUUGUGACGGUACCUAGAUAAGAAGCACCGGCUAACUACGUG
This 465-nucleotide ribosomal RNA is filed under the name uncultured bacterium. RNAcentral's name for it is "partial 16S ribosomal RNA". It matches the Rfam family "Bacterial small subunit ribosomal RNA", at positions 28 to 507 of the family's 1533-position model. The record is from RNAcentral.